This is a long non-coding RNA of Brachypodium distachyon (stiff brome), 644 nucleotides long. RefSeq lists it as uncharacterized. The transcript has 4 exons. The record is from RefSeq and is a predicted model, not a curated record. Lineage: Eukaryota; Viridiplantae; Streptophyta; Magnoliopsida; Poales; Poaceae.
CGCCGCCGCCAUGGGAGCCGCCGUGUAGGAGCUCCGCCUCAUCUCCGCUAGCUGCCGCAACCCAACGGACGGGAUUCAUCAGUUGAGAGAAUUGGGGAGUAGAUGAGAUCCCAUUCGUCUUCUUUCCUUUUGAAGGCAAGGCGAGGUACUUCUUUCAGCAGCUACUUUCAGGAUUCAACUACUGCCACUCCAUGGAAAUUUGUCACCUUGAUCUUAAACUGGAAAACACCCUCGUCGAUGCGAGCCCAACACCUCUUUGUGAAAAUCUGCGACUUUGAUUACUCUAAGUCUGCUUUUGCUGCAUUCUAAACCAAAUCAACAGUUGGCACUCCGGCAUAGAUAGCGCCAGAAGUUCUUUCAAGAAAAGAAUAUGAUGGCGAGGCAAGAUAUUCCUCAUUCUAAGUUUGGCAAUAUUCAGUUAAUCGCUGUAUUUGCAUCCACAUCUUUUUUUUUCCGGUAAAGACAAGGUAAAAAUAUAGGUAGGCAUAGCAAUUAGUAAAUGAAGGAAAACUAACUAUAUGUUUUUAUCUUUUUUUGUCCUUGAUGGAUGUUGUAUUCUAAAUGUUGUUAUCUUCGGAAGAAACCUUUUUUAAAAGAUGUUUGGUGGUCGUCAAAUAAGACCAAAUAGAGGAAGUUUUGAUACA